Molecule: ribosomal RNA, 503 nt
Filed under: uncultured bacterium
Lineage: Bacteria
Description: partial 16S ribosomal RNA
Rfam family: Bacterial small subunit ribosomal RNA
Source: RNAcentral
AUUGAACGCUGGCGGCAGGCUUAACACAUGCAAGUCGAGCGGAGUGAUGGUGCUUGCACUAUCACUUAGCGGCGGACGGGUGAGUAAUGCUUAGGAAUCUGCCUAUUAGUGGGGGACAACAUCUCGAAAGGGAUGCUAAUACCGCAUACGUCCUACGGGAAAAAGCAGGGGACCACUUGUGACCUUGCGCUAAUAGAUGAGCCUAAGUCGGAUUAGCUAGUUGGUGGGGUAAAGGCCUACCAAGGCGACGAUCUGUAGCGGGUCUGAGAGGAUGAUCCGCCACACUGGGACUGAGACACGGCCCAGACUCCUACGGGAGGCAGCAGUGGGGAAUAUUGGACAAUGGGGGGAACCCUGAUCCGGCCAUGCCGCGUGUGUGAAGAAGGCCUUAUGGUUGUAAAGCACUUUAAGCGAGGAGGAGGCUCUUUUGGUUAAUACCCAAGAUGAGUGGACGUUACUCGCAGAAUAAGCACCGGCUAACUCUGUGCCAGCCGCCGCCGUAA